This 720-nucleotide unclassified non-coding RNA is filed under the name Leishmania donovani. RNAcentral's name for it is "gene:unknown". The record is from RNAcentral. Lineage: Eukaryota; Euglenozoa; Kinetoplastea; Trypanosomatida; Trypanosomatidae.
CUCCACUCUACCGGGCCUGCCACAGGCACCCAGCGCGCGGUGCAACGCAGCCGCAGACACGCAUCACAGCAGUGCGCCGACCCAGUCAUCUGUGCACGGCCCCUGACCCAAACUCUACCCACCCACCCGCCUCGCAGGGUGGCACUCAGCCUCCCCAGCAGCAGGCAGUGCGAGGGCCGAGCGAGACGCGUUGGUAUCACGCUGACGCCUUGCCCAUCGCAUGGAUGGCGCAAGCACGCUCACGGUCGCGGGUCGCACCGGCGCCACGCCGUCCAGGGAUUGGCCGCCGGCAUCCGUGCCACUGCAUCGCACUGACCUCCCCACGUCCUAGGCACCCUGGCCCUGUCACCACCAGGGGUGGUUCGGCAGUGGCUGGGAUAGGGAGGGAGGGGGGAGGAGGCUGCUCGGCUUCCCCGCCCACAGUGGGAGCACUGAACCCUGCGAUAUCACGCAGUGAGAGAGGUGUGUCCGCCCUCCCGUUUUGAGGGAUGUCUUUCGCAUAUGCAAGCUCCCAUCUCCGAGUGAGCAACUGUGAGAGAGCAGCAGUAGCAGCAGCAGGGGACUCUCUGCGGCGGCGGCGGCUUUUGUUUUGCUUUUCGUGGUGCACUCCCACAAUGCACAGACACACGCAUGCCCUUAUUCUUACCCGCAUCCUUUUAUCUGGGAGCUCUCUGCGUACUUCACUUCUCGGCGUUUUAUGCGCCUUCGCGAGUGGGAUAG